RNAcentral lists this ribosomal RNA (265 nucleotides) under uncultured bacterium. RNAcentral describes it as "partial 16S ribosomal RNA". It matches the Rfam family "Bacterial small subunit ribosomal RNA", at positions 793 to 1055 of the family's 1533-position model. The record is from RNAcentral.
GUCCACGCCGUAAACGAUGAUGACUAGCUGUCGGGGCGCUUGGCGUUUCGGUGGCGCAGCUAACGCGUUAAGUCAUCCGCCUGGGGAGUACGGCCGCAAGGUUAAAACUCAAAGAAAUUGACGGGGGCCUGCACAAGCGGUGGAGCAUGUGGUUUAAUUCGAAGCAACGCGCAGAACCUUACCAGCGUUUGACAUGGUAGGACGGUUUCCAGAGAUGGAUUCCUUCCCUUACGGGACCUACACACAGGUGCUGCAUGGCUGUCGU